GAUGUGGCUCAGUGGUGGUGCGACUGCCUGCGACGCAGGAGGUUUCGGGUUCAAUUCCCGGUGGGUCA
Non-coding RNA from Phthorimaea operculella (potato tuberworm), 68 nucleotides. The record is from the annotation of a GenBank genome assembly. Lineage: Eukaryota; Metazoa; Arthropoda; Insecta; Lepidoptera; Gelechiidae.